RNAcentral lists this ribosomal RNA (466 nucleotides) under uncultured bacterium. RNAcentral describes it as "partial 16S ribosomal RNA". It matches the Rfam family "Bacterial small subunit ribosomal RNA", at positions 339 to 795 of the family's 1533-position model. The record is from RNAcentral.
CUACGGGCGGCAGCAGUGGGGAAUAUUGGACAAUGGGGGAAACCCUGAUCCAGCAAUGCCGCGUGUGUGAAGAAGGCCUGCGGGUUGUAAAGCACUUUCGGUUGUGAGGACUGCUUCUAGCACUAAUAUUGUUGGAAGUUGACGUUACCUUCAGAAGAAGCACCGGCUAACUCCGUGCCAGCAGCCGCGGGUAAUACGGAGGGUGCAAGCGUUAAUCGGAAUUACUGGGCGUAAAGCGCGCGUAGGCGGCUAGAUCAGUCGGGUGUGAAAGCCCCGGGCUUAACCUGGGAACUGCAUCCGAUACUGUCUAGCUUGAGUACAGGAGAGGAGAGUGGAAUUCCACAUGUAGCGGUGAAAUGCGUAGAUAUGUGGAGGAACACCAAUGGCGAAGGCAGCUCUCUGGCCUGAUACUGACGCUGAGGUGCGAAAGCGUGGGGAGCAAACAGGAUUAGAUACCCUUGUAGUC